CAGUCGCCGCGGGAAUACGGAGGGUGCAAGCGUUAAUCGGAAUUACUGGGCGUAAAGCGCACGCAGGCGGUUUGUUAAGUCAGAUGUGAAAUCCCCGAGCUUAACUUAGGAAUUGCAUUCGAUACUGGGAAGCUAGAGUAUGGGAGAGGAUGGUAGAAUUCCAGGUGUAGCGGUGAAAUGCGUAGAGAUCUGGAGGAAUACCGAUGGCGAAGGCAGCCAUCUGGCCUAAUACUGACGCUGAGGUACGAAAGCAUGGGGAGCAAACAGGAUUAGAUACCCCUGUAGUCCCUGUCUCUUAUAC
This 301-nucleotide ribosomal RNA is filed under the name uncultured bacterium. Its description in RNAcentral is "partial 16S ribosomal RNA". It matches the Rfam family "Bacterial small subunit ribosomal RNA", at positions 509 to 807 of the family's 1533-position model. The record is from RNAcentral.